Cyanistes caeruleus (blue tit) is the source of this 1547-nucleotide long non-coding RNA. NCBI's taxonomy places the organism in Eukaryota, Metazoa, Chordata, Aves, Passeriformes, Paridae. The record is from Ensembl.
UGAUGUUUCCUGGGGCUCCAGGAGAUUUUUGGGCCAUUCCUGAUGGUUUACAUGGGAUUUUUGGGGCAAUCCUGAUGGUUUAUGUGUGAUUUUUGGGGCCCAUCCUGACAGUUUGUGAUGUUUUCUGGUGCUCCAGGAGAUUUUUGGGCCAAUCCUGAUGAUUUAUGUGUGAUUUUUGGGCCAUUCCUGAUGGUUUACAUGUGAUUUUUGGGGCCCAUCCUGACAGUUUGUGAUGUUUUCUGUUGCUCCAGGAGAUUUUUGGGCCAUUCCUGACGGUUUACAUGUGAUUUUUGGGGCUCAUCCUGACAGUUUGUGAUGUUUUCUGGUGCUCCAGGAGAUUUUUGGGCCAAUCCUGAUGGUUUACAUGUGAAUUUUUGGGCCGAUCCUGAUGGUUUAUGUGUGAUUUUUGGGCCAUUCCUGAUGGUUUACAUGGGAUUUUUGGGGCCCAUCCUGACAGUUUGUGAUGUUUCCUGGUGCUCCAGGAGAUUUUUGGGCCAAUCCUGACGGUUUACAUGGAAUUUUUGGGGCCCAUCCUGACAGUUUGUGAUGUUUUCUGUUGCUCCAGGAGAUUUUUGGGCCGAUCCUGACGGUUUUCGUGUACCCCGAGCAUCGCUACAAGGAGGUGCUGGAGCUCAUCGACACCACCACCCCCUACGGCCUCACGGGGGCGAUCUUCGCCCAGGAGAAGGCGGUCAUCGAGGAGUCGCGGAGGCUGCUGCGCAACGCCGCCGGCAACUUCUACAUCAACGACAAAUCCACGGGGGCCGUGGUGGCCCAGCAGCCCUUCGGGGGCUCCCGGAUCUCAGGUGACACCAGGGCUCCCCCCCUGCUCCCCUCCGUGUCCCUGCUGUCCCCUGGGGCCCUCCAUGGCCUUCCUGUCCCUCCCUUGUCCCUGCGUGUCCCUCCUUCCACGUCCUUCCUCUCCCUCCCAUCCCUUGUGUCCCUCUUGUCCUCUGUGUCCUUCCCAUCCCUCCGUGUUCCUCCUGUCCUUGUCCUUCCAUGUCCCUCCUGUCCUGUGUCCCUCCCAUCCCUCCUGUCCCUCCUUGUGUCCCAUAUCCCUCCCAUCCUCUGUGUCCCUCCUGUGCUCCGUGUCCCUUGUCCUGUGUCCCUCCCAUCCUCCUUGUCCCCGCGUGUCCCUCCUGUCCUUCCAUGUCCCUCUGUGUCCCUCGUGUGCGUGGUGUCCUUUCAUGUCCCCAUCCUCUGUGUCCCUCUGUGUCCUUCCCAUCCUUCCAUGUCCCUCCUGUCCUUGUCCUUCCAUGUCCCUCCAUGUCCCUCCCAUCCCUCCUGGUGUCCCAUAUCUGUCCCAUCCUCUGUGUCCCUCCUGCCCUCCUUUUCCUUCCACGUCCCUCCUGUGCUCCAUGUCCCUUCCAUGUCCCCAUCCUCAGUGUCCUUCCCAUCCUUCCAUGUCCCUCCUGUCCUUGUCCUUCCAUGUCCCUCCAUGUCCCUCCCAUCCCUCCUUGUGUCCCAUAUCCCUCCCAUCCUCUGUGUCCCUCCUGCCUUCCUUUUCCUUCCACGUCCCUCCUGUGCUCCGUGUCCCCAUCCUCUGU